UAUGUUUUUGUAAGUUUGAUUAUUGCAAAGUCUGUGGGGUUUGUUCUGGCCGUGCCCUGGGCAAGUGGCAGUUCUAGGUUGUGACCCAAACCACGGCAGUGACAACACCAGAUCCUUAACCCACUGUGCCACAAAAGAACCCCCAAUUGCAAAGUUGUUAUUUUUUUUGUUUUAAUGACCUCUCCAAGGUCAAAAAAACAAUCAGAUGGCUGGCUUUACCAGCUUGGAAAGUUUUUUCAAUCUCUGUUAGCUCUAUUUAGGAACAUCUUAGACCAGAGAGUAAUGAUACAGGUAUGAAGUCUUCCAGGUUAGCAAAGGAAAAGAAAGCAACAGCAAAACGAUAUUUUACCUGCCUACUCAAAGCAUUCCACUUGACAGUCCCAAUGAAAGUGAUACCUAAGCCUGGAUGGUUCCAUAGGAAGGUGGGGAGGAGGGGUGCAGCCCUACUCCAGGUCACUCCCUGAACAAAAUCUUACCUGCCAAAUAACUUCUGAAUGUGGGAGAUUCCAGAGAGGUCUGUGAGUUUUAAAAGAAUGUACAAGGAUUGACGUCACUGCUGAUUGGUUGCGAAACUUGGUUAAACCAGGUGUCAGCAAACUAUAGCCCUCCCAUGAGCCAAAUCUGGCCCACUGCCUGUGUCUGCACAGCUCACAAACUAAGAAUAGUUUUUACAUCUUAAAAUGGUUUUUAGGAGUUCCUGCUGCGAUACAGUGGGUUAAUCCAACUGCAACAGCUCAGGUUGCCUCUGAGGCACGGCUUCCAUCCCAGGCGCAGUGGGUUAAAGGAUCUGGUGUUGCUGCAGCCUAUGUCAUAGAUAUGUAAUGUCUAUGACUGUUUUCAGUCCACAAUGACAGAGUUAGGUAGGUGAAACCAAAUGGCCCACAGUGUCCAAAAUGGCCCUUAGCAGAAAAGUUGUGCUGACCUCAGGCAUAAAAGUUGUGUGUGAAAGAUGUGUUGGAAGACCUUUGAUUUUCGUUGUAUCAGGUAAGAAGAGGAAGUCUGUGAGAGCAGAAAGCAAGAGAAUGAGAGCAUUAGAAAGUGCAGGCUAUCGAAGAGUAUUCUGGUCUAGGUAGCAAGUGCUACAUCCACCUGCUCAGAGUCACUCUGGGAUAAGGAAAUCUCAGCAAACUGAUAGAGCAAUUUUAAAGUAUUUUAAAAUUUGUGAUUCCAAUUUAUAGUGUAAUCAACUUAGUAAUCAAUUUUAAGUUGCAGUCAGUUUUUUGUGUACGUACAGUUAUUGUAAAUGCUACGCUAUUGGAAAUUUUAAUAAUAGUAUUUUGUGUAUUUUACUUCAUUUUGGUUUUGCUUGUUCUCCACUGCAACCACCAGAUGGCGAGUUUUCUUAUAUUGUCUGGUUGUCACACCAGGUCUCUGGCCAACAAAGGAUAAUAAAAUAUAGGUCCACAGUCCCUUCUUUGAAACUCCUGUUUUCUGAGGCCAGGACCAGGGACUUUUUUUGUUUUUUAGGAUGUUUUGAAAUUAAGAGUAUUUCAGAUUUUUAGGAAAUACAGAGGUAAUACAGUUUAUUGUACUAUACUAUAUUACAGUAUAUUAUAAUAUAAUACCUCUAAUGGGGGUGUGGAGGAGCAUUCAAAUAUGUUAAUAUUUCUUCAGUUAAGUUUGUUAAUGCAGAAUAAGGAAUGAGUAUCGACUAUCAAUAGCCUCCCAUCAGUUCACAUCAGGUUUUGCUCCCAAAUUAAUUUGUGCCAGACUUCGGGGGGCAAAUUUUUGAUUUUUAGUUUUUGGGGGGUUUGUUUGUUUGAGUUUUGGACUUGUGGAUACAGUUUUGUAGUUCUGGAAUAAGAAUAACACAUGUAAUGUUUGCUAUGUAUCUGGCUUCAUUCUAAAUGCUUUACACAAUUAGUGUAUUGAGAUCACCUCACAAUAGGUUGUUUUUAAAUCACAAGACUUGUCAGCAGAGAGGGUGGAUUUGUGUAAAAUUUUUUUUUUAAGGGCAGACUGAUUUAUCUCAAGUCUAAUGGUGAGAUAUGAUGAGGAAACUGGCUCACAUAUCCGACAAGGAGCAAACCAGCACUCGCGGCUUUUUCCUGUCCGUGCUGUGGGUUUCCUAAUGCCCAGUAAACAAGCUCUGUUUUCUAAUUUAACUCUCAAAAGCAAAUGAAUCAUAUGAAAAUAUCACUAAAUAUUGUGAAAGUGAAAAUGCUGCAAUCCCUACCAUUUUUUCCCAGAAAUAAAUUUUUAUAAUAUUUACAUUCAGCUGAUUUUGUAAUUGAAUUCUUUCUUUUCCAUUGUGGAAAAAUAUCCAUAACGUAAAAUUUACCAUCUUAACCAUUUUUUGAAGUGCACGGUUCAGUGAUAGAUACAUUUACAUUGUUGUGCAGCCAUCACCACCAUUCAUCCCCAUAACCCUUUUAUCUUGUAAAACUGAAACUCUGCUUAUUAAUAACUCCCCGUUCCCUCCUCCCCCAGCCCCUAAAGACCAAAGACCACCAUUACAAUUUAUGUCUCUAUGAAUUUGACUUCUCAGGAGAAAUGAAUCCCACUAGUAUCUACAAGGGUGGGGGUUUGAUCCCUGGCCUUGCUCAGUGGGUUGGGGAUCCAGCGUUGCCAUGAGAUGUGGUGUAGGUCGCCAGUUCUGCUCAGAUCUGGUGUUGCUGUGGCGUAGGCUGGCGGCUGUAGCUCCAAGUUGACCCCUAACCUGGGAGCCACAAGUGCCACAAGUGUGGCCCUAAAAAGCAAAAAAAAAAAAAUUAAGUACCCCUUUUAAGCGGAAUGUUAUGUAUUUGCCUUUUUGUAAUUGGCUUCUUUCACUUAGUCUGAUGACCUCAAGGUUCAUCCAUGUUGUAGCAUAUUGCCCAUUCUCCUUUCUUUUUAAGGCUAAGUACUAUCCCACUGUAUGCAUGUACCAUAUUUUGCUUGCGCAGACACCACAGUUUACUUUCCAAAUCUUCCCCUGCAAGUGGUAAGCCUUCAACAGACUCCAGAGUUCCAAAAUUUGACUACUCUGCCAGUGCAAUUGUUGUCUAGGUUGGGAGCCAGAUUCCCAGUGCUUCCUAUUCCACUGUCCUCCCAGAAUCCUCUCCCACAGUUCUUAGCAUUUUACCACUUAAAUAUUAUUUGAUUAUGUCCCACCAUCUCCCACUUCCCCAAGUUAAGCCUCCAGAGGAAACCAUAGCCCUGGCCAAUAGCCUGACUGUAACUUCAUUGAGAGAACUUGACAAAGACUACUUGACCAAACUUUAGUCAGGAACCUCUGACCCAGGGAUGGUCCCCAACACACCUCUGAAAUGCAAAUCUCUGCCUGAGAGCCUGCUUCCUGGAGACCCUGCCUGAGGCCCUUUGUGAUCUAGAGCAAAUACUUUACUUCUCUGGGUCUUGGUCUCCUUAUCUGCAAAAUGGGAGAAAAUACCAGUAUCCAUUCCAUAAGGUGGUUGUGAGGAUUCAACAAGUUUAAAUCCUUGGCAUGGUGUCUGCCACACAGUGAGCACACAUAAAUAUUUGCUCUGUGAUUAUUACUAUCUAUAAAACAUCCUUGGCUUCUGCCCCAUCCCUGCCCCCAGCCUCAGAAAACCAACUGGUGCAAAGUUCUUGAGGUAGCAGCAAGUUUGGCAUACUGGGGAAAUAGGGUGAAGGAGAGUGAUAGAAGAUGAGGUCAGAGAAGCCGGCAGAUCCCUGUUGGACGCUGUGGGGCUUGUAUGUUGGGAUUUAAAUCGAAGUGAGAUGGGAAACCAUGGCAGCAGGUUGAGAGCAAAUGAGUAAGGUGAGUUGGCCCGCGGUUCUAGAAGCUCUGGCUUCAGGGAUAACCAGUUACAGGGCAGCAGGAGGGUAAGUGAGGAAGACUAGAGCGAUGAUAAUUACAAAUGGGGAGCUUCGGGAUGUUUUGGUAGGAGAAUUAGUGGCAGACUAGAUGUGAAGGGCAAAAAAGGAAUUAAAGACAUCCCCUUGGCGUCCUUGAGAAAAAUGGGUGGUUGGUAACACCAUGGAUUUAGACAAGGAAAAGCAAGAGCAGGUUUGGGGCAAGAAGGGGAGACUCUAAAGCUCUGUUUAUAACAUGUUAAGUUUGAAAUGCCUGUUGGACAUCCAAGUGAGAUGUCAAACUAGCCCUUGGCUGUAUGUUUGGGUCCUCUUCUGACCGAGUCAUACUGUAUAUAAAAGGGCUAGGAGAGCAUAAAUUAACCUGACCUGAGACAAUUAAGCUAACUGUUCCUUUGGAAUGCAGGGUCAUUAUUUGCCUUAUUUAUUAAUUUACCAACUAAAACAUUGUUCAUCUUUUCCUCUUCACGUAGCAAUUAAUGAAGAGAACUCCACGUGGCUCUACAACUAGAAAUUAAGAGCUGACCCAUAGAUGCUCCAGGGGUCAUGACUUUUGCACUGAGCACUUCAGUGACUAGCAAUAUCUUGGCUGGAGCUAAAAUGGAAAUUGCCAGGAACAGGCUUAUUUUGCCUCCCAGCAUGCACUUAGGGAUGUAUGGCUGUGAAGCAUCUUACCCAGUAUCUCUCAUCUUAAAGGCACACAGUAUGUGCCAGUUUCCUUCUACAGAGCCUCACUGGAACAACUACCAUGUUUUUGGUACAGCCUCUGCAAUGCUAUGAUGGCUCAAAUAUGAAGUUUCAUUUUCUCUAGUUUCUUGAACCAUGGUUGUGCCUGGCAAAGGAAGGGCCUUCUCAUAGGCCUAACCUCUUGGUAAUAAUAAUAAUAAUAAUUCCCUUUUUGAAAACCAUGAUUUAUGGUUUUUUAAAUGAUUUCACAUAAAUUCGUUCAUUUGAUCCAUAGCCUCAAAGAGAGGUGAGAUAUCCUCAUUUUACACAUGAGGAAAGAAGAGAAUAUGCAUGAAGGCACUUCUGCAACUUCCACUCUCUACUGGGCUGUGCUUUUCUGAAAGCCAAUGGCAGGGGAGUGUGUUCUCUAGCUGUACUUCAACUCCCUCAUAUCUGGUAUUCUUUUUCCUACCAGAUGCCACUGGAGUACAGUUCAAGGAGUUUUUGCUAGGGUGGAGUGAAGAUUCAAAAAUGGUGCCAAUCCAAGUAGCUAUCCUGGUCAUACUUGGAGACUGGAAUUCAUUGAGGAAAGAUUUCCACGCAAGUUGAGACAAUUCUUGUAAGAAGGGCUUGUUACUUCUCAAUAUUAGGCUUGAACAAGCAAGAACAACUGGAAACAAUCACAUAUCUAUCAACAGGUGACUGGAUGAACAAUGGAAUAUUAUUUAUGUACUGUAGAUAUUAUGCAACAAGAUGGAUGAAUUUAAAAGCAUUACAUCCAGAUGGCCAAAAAGCACACGAAAAGAUGCUCAACAUCACUAUUAGAGAAAUGCAAGUCAAAACUACAAUGAGGUAUCACCUCACACCAGUCAGAAUAGCCAUCACCAAAAAGUCUACAAACAGGGAUUUCCUAUUGUGGCUCAGUGGGUUAAGCCUAGUAUCCAUAAGGAUGUGGACCCCUGGCCUCACUCAGUGGGUUAAGGAUCCAGCAUUGCUGCAAGCUGUGGUGUGGAUUCCUGAUAUGGCUUGGGUCUAGUGUUGCUGUGACUGUGGAAUAGGCUGGCAGCUGGCGGCUGGUAGCUGCAGCUCAAACUCAAUCCCUAUCCUGGGAAUUUCCAUGUGCUACAAGUGUGGCCCUUAAAAGGGGAAAAAAAAAAAAAGUCUACAAACAAUAAAUAUUGGAAAGUGUGUGGAGAAAAAGGAACAUUUCUACAUUGCUGGUGGGAAUGUAAAUUGAUGCAAAUACUAUGGAGAACAGAAUGGGGGUUCCUUAAAAAACUAUAGAACUAAAUAUGAUCCCACUCCUGGGCAUAUACAUGGAGAAAAUCAUAACUCAAAAAGAUAAAUGUGGUGUUCCCGUCGUGGCUUAGUGGUUAACAAAUCCAUGAAGUUUUGGAUUCGAUCCCUGGCCUUGCUCAGGAACCAUGAGGUUUUGGGUUUGAUCCCUGGCCUUGCUCAGUGGGUUAAGGAUCUGGCAUUGCUGUGAGCUGUGGAGUGGGUCACAGACGCAGCUUGGAUCCCGCGUUGCUGUGGUUCUGGCGUAGGCCAGCAGCUACAGCUCUGAUUAGACCCCUGGCCUGGGAAACUGUAUGACAUGGGAGCAGCCCUAGAAAAGACAAAAAACAAAAACAAAAAGAUACAUGCACCCAAUGUUCAUUGCAGCACUAUUUACAGUGGCCAAAACAUGGAAGCAACCUAAAUGUCCAUCAACAGAGGAAUGGAUAAAGAAGAUGUGGUAUAUAUACACAAUGGAAUAUUACUCAGCCAUUAAAAAAGAACAAAAUAAUGCCAUUUGCACCAACAUGGAUGGACCUAGAAAUUAUACUAAGUGAAGUUAAGUCAAAGAAAGACAAACCUUGUAUGAGAUUAGGACUAUGUGGAAUCUAAUAGAAAAUGAUACAAAAGAACUCACAAAACAGAUUUAAAAAUCAAAUUUGUGGUUAUCAAAGGGGAAACGGGGGAAUGAAUAAAUUAGGAGGUUAAGAUUAACAUAUACGCACUACUAUAUAUAAAACAGAUAAGUAAUAAGGACCUACUGUAUAUAGCUCCAGGAAAUCUACUAAAUACUGUUAAUAACCUAUAUGGGAAAAGCAUCCAAAAAGGAACAGAUAUAUGUAUAUGUACAACUGACUCACUUUGUCAUACACCUGAAACUAACACAGCACUAUACUCCAAUAAAAAAUUAAUAAAUAUGUAU
Molecule: long non-coding RNA, 6637 nt
Filed under: Sus scrofa (pig)
Lineage: Eukaryota; Metazoa; Chordata; Mammalia; Artiodactyla; Suidae
Description: lncRNA (ENSSSCG00000056539.1)
Source: RNAcentral